RNAcentral lists this ribosomal RNA (214 nucleotides) under uncultured bacterium. Its description in RNAcentral is "partial 16S ribosomal RNA". It matches the Rfam family "Bacterial small subunit ribosomal RNA", at positions 524 to 737 of the family's 1533-position model. The record is from RNAcentral.
UACGAAGGGGGCUAGCGUUGUUCGGAAUACUGGGCGUAAAGCGUGCGCAGGCGGUUUUGUAAGUCUGACGUGAAAUCCCCGGGCUCAACCUGGGAAUUGCGUUGGAGACUGCAAGGCUAGAAUCUGGCAGAGGGGGGUAGAAUUCCACGUGUGAGCAGUGAAAUGCGUAGAUAUGUGGAGGAACACCGAUGGCGAAGGCAGCCCCCUGGUCAAG